RNAcentral lists this ribosomal RNA (1886 nucleotides) under Rhizobium sp. T1470. Its description in RNAcentral is "bacterial LSU rRNA". It matches the Rfam family "Bacterial large subunit ribosomal RNA", at positions 209 to 2259 of the family's 2925-position model. The record is from RNAcentral. RNAcentral also lists the same sequence under 1 other name. Lineage: Bacteria; Pseudomonadati; Pseudomonadota; Alphaproteobacteria; Hyphomicrobiales; Rhizobiaceae.
CCUGCAGGAAAGGACAUCAACCGAGACUCCGCAAGUAGUGGCGAGCGAACGCGGACCAGGCCAGUGGCAAUCAAAGUUAAAGCGGAAUGAUCUGGAAAGUUUGGCCGUAGCGGGUGACAGCCCCGUACGCGUAGAUGCUUUGAUUGUCCUAGAGUAGGGCGGGACACGAGAAAUCCUGUCUGAACAUGGGGAGACCACUCUCCAAGCCUAAGUACUCGUGCAUGACCGAUAGCGAACAAGUACCGUGAGGGAAAGGUGAAAAGCACCCCGACAAGGGGAGUGAAAUAGAACCUGAAACCGGAUGCCUACAAACAGUCGGAGCCCGCAAGGGUGACGGCGUACCUUUUGUAUAAUGGGUCAACGACUUAGUGUAACAAGCAAGCUUAAGCCGGUAGGUGUAGGCGAAGCGAAAGCGAGUCUGAAUAGGGCGAUUUAGUUUGUUGCAUUAGACCCGAAACCGAGUGAUCUAGCCAUGAGCAGGUUGAAGGUUGGGUAACACCAACUGGAGGACCGAACCCGCAUCUGUUGCAAUAGAUUGGGAUGACUUGUGGCUAGGGGUGAAAGGCCAAUCAAACUCGGAAAUAGCUGGUUCUCCGCGAAAUCUAUUUAGGUAGAGCGUCGACCGAAUACCCCCGGGGGUAGAGCACUGGAUGGGCUAUGGGGACUCACCGUCUUACUGAUCCUAACCAAACUCCGAAUACCGGGGAGUACUAGUCGGCAGACACACGGCGGGUGCUAACGUCCGUCGUGAAAAGGGCAACAACCCUAACCUCCAGCUAAGGUCCCCAAGUCAUGGCUAAGUGGGAAAGGAUGUGAGGAUCCCAAAACAACCAGGAUGUUGGCUUAGAAGCAGCCAUCAUUUAAAGAAAGCGUAACAGCUCACUGGUCUAAAUAAGGGUCUUUGCGCCGAAAAUGUAACGGGGCUGAAGCCAUGCACCGAAGCUGAGGAUGUGUAGCAAUACACGUGGUAGCGGAGCGUUCCGUAAGCCUGUGAAGGGAUACCUGUGAGGGGUCCUGGAGGUAUCGGAAGUGCGAAUGUUGACAUGAGUAACGAUAAAGAGGGUGAGAGACCCUCUCGCCGAAAGACCAAGGGUUCCUGCUUAAAGUUAAUCUGAGCAGGGUUAGCCGGCCCCUAAGGCGAGGCAGAAAUGCGUAGUCGAUGGGAACCACGUUAAUAUUCGUGGGCCUGGUGGUAGUGACGGAUUGCUCAACUUGUUCAGACUUAUUGGAUUGUCUGGGCAGGGACGCGGUUCCAGGAAAUAGCUCCACCGUAUAGACCGUACCCGAAACCGACACAGGUGGUCAGGUAGAGUAUACCAAGGCGCUUGAGAGAACUAUGUUGAAGGAACUCGGCAAAUUGCACGCGUAACUUCGGAAGAAGCGUGACCCCAUGAUACGCAAGUAUGGUGGGGUGGCACAGACCAGGGGGUAGCGACUGUUUAUCAAAAACACAGGGCUCUGCGAAGUCGCAAGACGACGUAUAGGGUCUGACGCCUGCCCGGUGCUGGAAGGUUAAGAGGAGAGGUGCAAGCUUUGAAUCGAAGCCCCAGUAAACGGCGGCCGUAACUAUAACGGUCCUAAGGUAGCGAAAUUCCUUGUCGGGUAAGUUCCGACCUGCACGAAUGGCGUAACGACUUCCCCGCUGUCUCCAACAUAGACUCAGUGAAAUUGAAUUCCCCGUGAAGAUGCGGGGUUCCUGCGGUCAGACGGAAAGACCCCGUGCACCUUUACUAUAGCUUUACACUGGCAUUCGUGUCGGCAUGUGUAGGAUAGGUGGUAGGCUUUGAAGCGGGGACGCCAGUUUCCGUGGAGCCAUCCUUGAAAUACCACCCUUAUCGUCAUGGAUGUCUAACCGCGGUCCGUUAUCCGGAUCCGGGACAGUGUAU